Molecule: long non-coding RNA, 283 nt
Organism: Centruroides sculpturatus (bark scorpion)
Lineage: Eukaryota; Metazoa; Arthropoda; Arachnida; Scorpiones; Buthidae
Exons: 3
Source: RefSeq, a predicted model, not a curated record
CGUUGACUUACGAGAAUAUCGUAAAUCGAGAAAAUGAAGAUAAAGGAAGAGUUAGAAACGAAUUGUUCGGACUUUACAAUUGAACGAACGGAAGAAAAUUUUGAAGUUGAUUUUAAAAAUAUCAAGAGAGAAUUUAAUACGGAUGUCAAGUGUUAUAAAACAAUUUAAUCGGAACCUUUAAAGAUAAAUAUUAAAGGAAAACCAAUUUCCACACGCAACACAAACGGAUCCACUAUUUGGAGUCAUUCUAAUUAUAUAGUUGGAAAAGAUAUAAAGAAAGAAG